AGGAGCGACCAUACCAGCACUAAUGCAUCAGAUCUCAUCGGAACUCCGAAGUUGAGCAUGUUUUGGGCGAGAAUUGUUCAUGUAGCGCCCCUG
This 93-nucleotide ribosomal RNA is filed under the name Cephalotus follicularis. Lineage: Eukaryota; Viridiplantae; Streptophyta; Magnoliopsida; Oxalidales; Cephalotaceae. The record is from RNAcentral.